RNAcentral lists this ribosomal RNA (460 nucleotides) under uncultured bacterium. RNAcentral's name for it is "partial 16S ribosomal RNA". It matches the Rfam family "Bacterial small subunit ribosomal RNA", at positions 338 to 795 of the family's 1533-position model. The record is from RNAcentral.
CCUACGGGUGGCAGCAGUGAGGAAUAUUGGUCAAUGGGCGCGAGCCUGAACCAGCCAAGUCGCGUGAGGGAAGACGGUCCUAUGGAUUGUAAACCUCUUUUGUCGGGGAGCAAAAGACGCCACGCGUGGCGUUCCGAGAGUACCCGAAGAAAAAGCAUCGGCUAACUCCGUGCCAGCAGCCGCGGUAAUACGGAGGAUGCGAGCGUUAUCCGGAUUUACUGGGUGUAAAGGGAGCGUAGGCGGGACGGCAAGUCAGAUGUGAAAACUGAGGGCUCAACUUUCAGACUGCAUUUGAAACUGCUGUUCUUGAGUGAAGUAGAGGUAAGCGGAAUUCGUAGUGUAGCGGUGAAAUGCGUAGAUAUUAGGAGGAACAUCGGUGGCGAAGGCGGCUUACUGGGCUUUUACUGACGCUGAGGCUCGAAAGCGUGGGGAGCAAACAGGAUUAGAUACCCCGGUAGUC